This 497-nucleotide ribosomal RNA is filed under the name uncultured bacterium. Its description in RNAcentral is "partial 16S ribosomal RNA". It matches the Rfam family "Bacterial small subunit ribosomal RNA", at positions 28 to 507 of the family's 1533-position model. The record is from RNAcentral.
GAUGAACGCUGGCGGCGUGCCUAAUACAUGCAAGUCGAGCGAACAGACGAGGAGCUUGCUCCUUUGACGUUAGCGGCGGACGGGUGAGUAACACGUGGGUAACCUACCUAUAAGACUGGGAUAACUUCGGGAAACCGGAGCUAAUACCGGAUAAUAUUUCGAACCGCAUGGUUCGAUAGUGAAAGAUAGCUUUGCUAUCACUUAUAGAUGGACCGGCGCCGUAUUAGCUAGUUGGUAAGGUAACGGCCUACCAAGGCGACGAUACGUAGCCGACCUGAGAGGGUGAUCGGCCACACUGGAACUGAGACACGGUCCAGACUCCUACGGGAGGCAGCAGUAGGGAAUAUUCCGCAAUGGGCGAAAGCCUGACGCAGCAACGCCGCGUGGGUGAAGAAGGUCUUCGGAUCGUAAAACUCUGUUAUUAGGGAAGAAAAAACGUGGAAGUAACUGUGCACGUCUUGACGGUACCUAAUCAGAAAGCCACGGCUAACUUCGUG